UCUACAUGCAAGUCGAACGAAUGAGUUAAGAGCUUGUUCUUAUGAAGUAAAAGGGCGGACGGGUAAGUAACACGUGGGUAACCUGCCCAUAAGACUGGGAUAACUCCGGGAAACCGGGGCUAAUACCGGAUAACAUUUUGAACCGCAUGGUUCGAAAUUGAAAGGCGGCUUCGGCUGUCACUUAUGGAUGGACCCGCGUCGCAUUAGCUAGUUGGUGAGGUAACGGCUCACCAAGGCAACGAUGCGUAGCCGACCUGAGAGGGUGAUCGGCCACACUGGGACUGAGACACGGCCCAGACUCCUACGGGAGGCAGCAGUAGGGAAUCUCCGCAAUGGACGAAAGUCUGACGGAGCAACGCCGCGUGA
RNAcentral lists this ribosomal RNA (366 nucleotides) under Bacillus sp. 1BR8. RNAcentral's name for it is "bacterial SSU rRNA". It matches the Rfam family "Bacterial small subunit ribosomal RNA", at positions 50 to 404 of the family's 1533-position model. Lineage: Bacteria; Bacillati; Bacillota; Bacilli; Caryophanales; Bacillaceae. The record is from RNAcentral.